CGAACGGGUGAGUAAUGCAUCGGAACGUGCCCAGUCGUGGGGGAUAACUGCUCGAAAGAGCAGCUAAUACCGCAUACGACCUGAGGGUGAAAGCGGGGGACCGUAAGGCCUCGCGCGAUUGGAGCGGCCGAUGUCAGAUUAGCUAGUUGGUGGGGUAAAGGCCUACCAAGGCAACGAUCUGUAGUUGGUCUGAGAGGACGACCAGCCACACUGGGACUGAGACACGGCCCAGACUCCUACGGGAGGCAGCAGUGGGGAAUUUUGGACAAUGGGCGCAAGCCUGAUCCAGCCAUGCCGCGUGCGGGAAGAAGGCCUUCGGGUUGUAAACCGCUUUUGUCAGGGAAGAAAUCCUUUGGGUUAAUACCCCGGGGGGAUGACGGUACCUGAAGAAUAAGCACCGGCUAACUACGUGCCAGCAGCC
Molecule: ribosomal RNA, 421 nt
Filed under: uncultured bacterium
Lineage: Bacteria
Description: bacterial SSU rRNA
Rfam family: Bacterial small subunit ribosomal RNA
Source: RNAcentral